UACGUAGGGUGCAAGCGUUGUCCGGAAUCAUUGGGCGUAAAGAGCGUGUAGGCGGUUCGGUAAGUCGGCUGUGAAAGUCCAGGGCUCAACCCUGGGAUGCCGGUCGAUACUGCCGGACUAGAGUUCGGAAGAGGCGAGUGGAAUUCCCGGUGUAGCGGUGAAUGCGCAGGUAUCGGGAGGAACACCUAUGGCGAAGGCAGCUCGCUGGGACGUUACUGACGCUGAGACGCGAAAGCGUGGGGAGCAAACAGG
RNAcentral lists this ribosomal RNA (252 nucleotides) under uncultured bacterium. RNAcentral describes it as "partial 16S ribosomal RNA". It matches the Rfam family "Bacterial small subunit ribosomal RNA", at positions 524 to 776 of the family's 1533-position model. The record is from RNAcentral.